CCAUGACGUAUAGAUUGACAGUUAGAGACUUCUCUUGAUCUUACGGGUGGUGGUGCAUGGCCGUUUUUAGUCCUUGGAGUGAUUUGUCUGCUUAAUUGCGAUAACGGACGAGACCUUAACCUGCUAAAUAGGGCUGCGAGCAUCUGCUCGGGUGCUCUUCUUAGAGGGACUAUGGGUAUCAAACCCAUGGAAGUUUGAGGCAACAACAGGUCUGUGAUGCCCUUAGACGUUCUGGGCCGCACGCGCGCUACACUGACGGAGCCAGCAAGUCCAACCUUGGUCGAGAGGCCCGGGUAAUCUCGUGAAACUCCGUCGUGCUGGGGAUAGAGCAUUGUAAUUUUUGCUCUAAACCAAAGGAAUAAAA
Molecule: ribosomal RNA, 364 nt
Filed under: Pichia kudriavzevii
Lineage: Eukaryota; Fungi; Ascomycota; Pichiomycetes; Pichiales; Pichiaceae
Description: SSU rRNA
Rfam family: Eukaryotic small subunit ribosomal RNA
Source: RNAcentral